This 295-nucleotide ribosomal RNA is filed under the name Solenosmilia variabilis. Its description in RNAcentral is "partial 16S ribosomal RNA". It matches the Rfam family "Bacterial large subunit ribosomal RNA", at positions 1994 to 2461 of the family's 2925-position model. The record is from RNAcentral. Lineage: Eukaryota; Metazoa; Cnidaria; Anthozoa; Scleractinia; Caryophylliidae.
UAAUGGUGUCACGAAAGUUCUUCUGUUUUAAAAAAACACUCAAGGAAAUUGAAUUUGUAGUGAAGAUGCUACAUUAAAAUUGUUAGACGAGAAGUCCCCAUGGAGCUUUACUGAAAGCCUAAAAAAAAUUUUUUAUUUAUUUAUAGGCUAGACAGUUUUGUUGGGGUGAUAGUUUUUUAAAAAGUAACGAAAACGAACUAUGACGCAUGUUUCACUCUGAAAACUUGAAGAGACAUUUGGGGUGUGUUUUAUGAUCUAUUGUUUUGAAUGAAAAAGAUAAUGAAAGCAGAUAAAA